GACGAACGCUGGCGGCGUGCUUAACACAUGCAAGUCGAACGGAAAGGCCCUGCUCUUGUGGGGUUCUCGAUUGGCGAACGGGUGAGUAUCACGUGAGUAACCUGUCCUUGUCUUUCGGAUAACUUUAGGAAACUGGGGCUAUUACCGGAUAGGAUCUCCUGCUGCAUGGUGGGGGUUGGAAAGUUUCGGCGGUUCGGUAUGGACUCGCGGCUUAUCAGCUUGUUAGUGGGGUAGGUGCUUACCAAGGUUUUGACGGGUAGCCUGCCUGAGAGGGUGACCGGGCACAUGAGGACUAAGAGACGGAACAGACUCCUACGGGAGGCAACAGUGGGAAAUAUUGCAGAAUAGGCGGAAGCGUGAUACAGCAGCGCCGCGUGCGGGAUAACGGCCUACGAGUGGUAAACAGCUUUCGAAUGUGACGAGGAGUGAGUGACGGUAAUGGGUAAGGAAGCACCGGCUAACUACGUG
RNAcentral lists this ribosomal RNA (468 nucleotides) under uncultured bacterium. RNAcentral's name for it is "partial 16S ribosomal RNA". It matches the Rfam family "Bacterial small subunit ribosomal RNA", at positions 28 to 507 of the family's 1533-position model. The record is from RNAcentral.